Long non-coding RNA from Sander lucioperca (pikeperch), 292 nucleotides. RefSeq lists it as uncharacterized. The record is from RefSeq and is a predicted model, not a curated record. Lineage: Eukaryota; Metazoa; Chordata; Actinopteri; Perciformes; Percidae. The transcript has 2 exons.
ACAAAAACUUCAGAAAAAGCGAGAAAAAGUAGGUGGGCAAAAAUGUAUUGGAAACCUAAAUUGAUAUGCGGGCCGGAUCAAAGUCUGCGAGGGGCCAGAUUUGCCCCGAAUGUGAUUUAGUAGAAUUUGAAGAAAACACAUGUCCAAUUUUUAUAUAUAUAUUUUUAAAUGUAUGACACAAUUUUAACACUUUUAUUAAUUAUUCUGGUUGAUUGACUUACAUGACUUUUUAGCUCAGGUCGUAUUGAUUUUAGGGAUAUGACGCAUUUGAAGAUACUCCAGGAAAUGACAU